This 448-nucleotide ribosomal RNA is filed under the name uncultured bacterium. Its description in RNAcentral is "bacterial SSU rRNA". It matches the Rfam family "Bacterial small subunit ribosomal RNA", at positions 355 to 796 of the family's 1533-position model. The record is from RNAcentral.
UGGGGAAUCUUGCGCAAUGGACGAAAGUCUGACGCAGCGACGCCGCGUGGGUGAUGAAGGCCUUCGGGUUGUAAAGCCCUGUGGGGAGGGACGAAUAAGUGCAGGCUAAUACUCUGCAUGAUGACGGUACCUCCUUAGCAAGCACCGGCUAACUCUGUGCCAGCAGCCGCGGUAAGACAGAGGGUGCGAACGUUGUUCGGAAUUACUGGGCGUAAAGCGCGUGUAGGCGGUCGUGCAAGUCGGGUGUGAAAGCCCUGGGCUCAACCCAGGAAGUGCAUUCGAUACUGCUCGACUGGAGUCCCGGAGAGGAUGGUGGAACUCUCGGUGUAGAGGUGAAAUUCGUAGAUAUCGAGAAGAACACCGGUGGCGAAGGCGGCCAUCUGGACGGUGACUGACGCUGAGACGCGAAAGCGUGGGGAGCAAACAGGAUUAGAUACCCCCGUAGUCC